UGUUAUUCUUCGCGACGUGCGGACGUUAUGCUCGUCGUGUGACUGUGUGACUUUGCUGUUCGACCAUGGUACGCCCCAUCGCGACUUAAAUCAUAAGUUGAGUGUUAUUCUUCGCCAAGUUCGGACGUUAUUGCUCUACGUGUGACCGUGCGACUUUGCUGUUCGACCAUGGCUCGCCUCAUCGGAAGCUCGCCACAUCGAAAGUUCACCGGGUUGCACCUAGCGAGAGACCGCCGCCAUCUUUCCUGCGCAUACCGGCUAACCUCGACCACCAC
Molecule: long non-coding RNA, 275 nt
Organism: Eufriesea mexicana
Lineage: Eukaryota; Metazoa; Arthropoda; Insecta; Hymenoptera; Apidae
Exons: 3
Source: RefSeq, a predicted model, not a curated record